CAGAUGUAGUUCAGUGGUAGAACUUCAGCUUCCCAAGCUGAUAAUGCGGGUUCGAUUCCCGUCAUCUG
RNAcentral lists this transfer RNA (68 nucleotides) under human gut metagenome. It matches the Rfam family "tRNA". Rfam says of the family: Transfer RNA (tRNA) molecules are approximately 80 nucleotides in length. The record is from RNAcentral.